GGAUUGCAGCUGCAACUCGACUGCAUGAAGCUGGAAUCGCUAGUAAUCGCGAAUCAGCAUGUCGCGGUGAAUACGUUCCCGGGUCUUGUACACACCGCCCGUCACACCAUGGGAGUCGGAAAUGCCCGAAGCCAGUGACCCAACCUUUAAGGAGGAAGCUGUCGAAGGCAGGUCUGGUAACUGGGGUGAAGUCGUAACAAGGUACC
This 206-nucleotide ribosomal RNA is filed under the name uncultured bacterium. Its description in RNAcentral is "partial 16S ribosomal RNA". It matches the Rfam family "Bacterial small subunit ribosomal RNA", at positions 1295 to 1500 of the family's 1533-position model. The record is from RNAcentral.